CGCUGGCGGCAGGCUAACACAUGCAAGUCGAGCGCGCCUUCGGGUGAGCGGCGGACGGGUUAGUAACGCCUACGUGCCCUUCUCUACGGAAUAGCCUCUGGAAACGGAGAGUAAUACCGUAUACGCCCUUUGGGGGAAAGAUUUAUCGGAGAAGGAUCGGCCCGCGUUAGAUUAGUGUAGUUGGUGGGGUAAUGGCCUACCAAGCCUACGAUCUAUAGCUGGUUUUAGAGGAUGAUCAGCAACACUGGGACUGAGACACGGCCCAGACUCCUACGGGAGGCAGCAGUGGGGAAUCUUAGACAAUGGGGGCAACCCUGAUCUAGACCAUGCCGCGUGAGUGAUGAAGGCCUUAGGGUCGUAAAGCUCUUUCGCCUGUGAUGAUAAUGACAGUAGACAGGUAAAGAAACCCCGGCUAACUCCGUGACCAAGCAGCCGCGGUUAAUACGGAGGGGGUUAGCGUUGUUCGGAAUUACUGGGCGUAAAGCGCGCGUAGGCGGAUUACAAAGUUGGGGGUGAACAUCCCGGGGCUCAACCCCGGAACUGCCUCCAAAAACUGCGUAGUCUAAGAGUUUCGACGAGCAGGGUGAGUGGAAUUUCCCCAGUGUAAGAGAGGUGAAAAUCCGUAAGAUAUACCGGAGGGAAACACCAGGUUGCGAAGGCGGGCUCAAUGGCAUCCAUACUGAC
This 684-nucleotide ribosomal RNA is filed under the name uncultured Paracoccaceae bacterium. Its description in RNAcentral is "bacterial SSU rRNA". It matches the Rfam family "Bacterial small subunit ribosomal RNA", at positions 34 to 744 of the family's 1533-position model. Lineage: Bacteria; Pseudomonadati; Pseudomonadota; Alphaproteobacteria; Rhodobacterales; Paracoccaceae. The record is from RNAcentral.